Molecule: ribosomal RNA, 490 nt
Filed under: uncultured bacterium
Lineage: Bacteria
Description: partial 16S ribosomal RNA
Rfam family: Bacterial small subunit ribosomal RNA
Source: RNAcentral
AUUGAACGCUGGCGGCAGGCCUAACACAUGCAAGUCGAACGGUAACAGGAAGAAGCUUGCUUCUUUGCUGACGAGUGGCGGACGGGUGAGUAAUGUCUGUGAAACUUCCUGAUGGAUGGGGAUAACUACUGGAAACGGUAGCUAAUACCGCAUAACGUCGCAAGACCAAAGAUGGGGACCUUCGGGCCUCUUGCCAUCGGAUGUGCCCAGAUGGGAUUAGCUAGUAGGUGGGGUAACGGCUCACCUAGGCGACGAUCCCUAGCUGGUCUGAGAGGAUGACCAGCCACACUGGAACUGAGACACGGUCCAGACUCCUACGGGAGGCAGCAGUGGGGAAUAUUGCACAAUGGGCGAAAGCCUGAUGCAGCCAUGCCGCGUGUAUGAAGAAGGCCUUCGGGUUGUAAAGUACUUUCAGCGGGGAGGAAGGGAGUAAAGUUAAUACAUUUGCUCAUUGACGUUACCCGCAGAAGAAGCACCGGCUAACUCCGUG